UACGUAGGGCGCAAGCGUUAUCCGGAAUUAUUGGGCGUAAAGAGCUCGUAGGCGGCUUGUUGCGUCGGUUGUGAAAGCCCGGGGCUUAACCCCGGGUCUGCAGUCGAUACGGGCAGGCUAGAGUGUGGUAGGGGAGAUCGGAAUUCCUGGUGUAGCGGUGAAAUGCGCAGAUAUCAGGAGGAACACCGGUGGCGAAGGCGGAUCUCUGGGCCAUUACUGACGCUGAGGAGCGAAAGCGUGGGGAGCGAACAGG
This 253-nucleotide ribosomal RNA is filed under the name uncultured bacterium. Its description in RNAcentral is "partial 16S ribosomal RNA". It matches the Rfam family "Bacterial small subunit ribosomal RNA", at positions 524 to 776 of the family's 1533-position model. The record is from RNAcentral.